UCUCUAUGCGGUGCCAGCAGCCGCGGUAAUACGGAGGAUCCAAGCGUUAUCCGGAUUUAUUGGGUUUAAAGGGUGCGUAGGCGGUCCUAUAAGUCAGUGGUGAAAGACGGCAGCUUAACUGUCGCAGUGCCUUUGAUACUGUAGGACUUGAAUCUAUUUGAAGUGGGCGGAAUAAGACAAGUAGCGGUGAAAUGCAUAGAUAUGUCUUAGAACUCCGAUUGCGAAGGCAGCUCACUAAGUUAGUAUUGACGCUGAUGCACGAAAGCGUGGGAUCAAACAGGAUUAGAUACCCUGGUAGUCCACGCCCUAAACGAUGAUAACUCGAUGUUUGCGAUACACAGUAAGCGUCCAAGCGAAAGCGUUAAGUUAUCCACC
RNAcentral lists this ribosomal RNA (375 nucleotides) under uncultured bacterium. RNAcentral describes it as "bacterial SSU rRNA". It matches the Rfam family "Bacterial small subunit ribosomal RNA", at positions 495 to 873 of the family's 1533-position model. The record is from RNAcentral.